GAAGGUUGCAGCGGUUCAAGGAAGUAAACUAAACAAAGAACAGACAUCUUACAUGCCCCAAAUUCCUGAUAUUUCAAGCUGUCUAGAGCACUUGUUGCCUCUCAAGAAGUGGGAGGAAGCAUUCCUUGCUGAUUUUUCAGAGCUAAGACUGGCUUUGUCACGUUUGGAAGCUAAUAUUGGAAGUUCUAGGCAGCUGCAUUCUUCAACCUUUGUUGAUAAACCACACUCUUCUGAUCAGCUUCCUGAAAACAUUGUUCUGGAUAAGUU
Molecule: unclassified non-coding RNA, 267 nt
Filed under: Hevea brasiliensis (rubber tree)
Lineage: Eukaryota; Viridiplantae; Streptophyta; Magnoliopsida; Malpighiales; Euphorbiaceae
Source: RNAcentral